AGCAGCCGCGGUAAUUCCAGCUCCAAUAGCGUAUAUUAAAGUUGUUGCAGUUAAAAAGCUCGUAGUUGAAUUUCGGGGUUAGUAGAUUGGUCAUGCCUCUGGUAUGCACUGGUCUCACUGAUUCCUCCUUCCUGAUGAACCGUAAUGCCAUUAAUUUGGUGUUGCGGGGAAACUGGACUGUUACUUUGAAAAAAUUAGAGUGUUUAAAGCAGGCUAACGCUUGAAUACAUUAGCAUGGAAUAAUGAAAUAGGACGUUCGAUCUUAUUUUGUUGGUUUCUAGGAUUGACGUAAUGAUUAAUAGGGAUAGUUGGGGGCAUUAGUAUUCAAUUGUCAGAGGUGAAAUUCUUGGAUUUAUUGAAGACUAACUACUGCGAAAGCAUUUGCCAAGGAUGUUUUCAUUAAUCAAGAACGAAAGUUAGGGGAUCGAAGACGAUCAGAUACCGUCGUAGUCUUAACCAUAAACUAUGCCGACUAGGGAUCGGAUGAUGUUAAUUUUUUAAUGACUCA
RNAcentral lists this ribosomal RNA (508 nucleotides) under uncultured Rhizophagus. RNAcentral describes it as "SSU rRNA". It matches the Rfam family "Eukaryotic small subunit ribosomal RNA", at positions 569 to 1078 of the family's 1831-position model. Lineage: Eukaryota; Fungi; Glomeromycota; Glomeromycetes; Glomerales; Glomeraceae. The record is from RNAcentral.